Molecule: ribosomal RNA, 467 nt
Filed under: uncultured bacterium
Lineage: Bacteria
Description: partial 16S ribosomal RNA
Rfam family: Bacterial small subunit ribosomal RNA
Source: RNAcentral
GACGAACGCUGGCGGCGUGCUUAACACAUGCAAGUCGAACGGAAAGGCCCUGCUUGCAGGGUGCUCGAGUGGCGAACGGGUGAGUAACACGUGGGUGAUCUGCCCCUUACUUUGGGAUAAGCCUGGGAAACUGGGUCUAAUACUGGAUAGGACCAUGCUAGGUGGUGUGGUGGAAAGAUUAGUUUCGGUAAGGGAUGAGCUCGCGGCCUAUCAGCUUGUUGGUGGGGUAAUGGCCUACCAAGGCGUCGACGGGUAGCCGGCCUGAGAGGGUGGACGGCCACAUUGGGACUGAGAUACGGCCCAGACUCCUACGGGAGGCAGCAGUGGGGAAUAUUGCACAAUGGGCGCAAGCCUGAUGCAGCGACGCCGCGUGGGGGAUGACGGCCUUCGGGUUGUAAACUCCUUUCAGCCAUGACGAAGCCCUUGUGGUGACGGUAGUGGUAGAAGAAGCACCGGCUAACUACGUG